This 263-nucleotide ribosomal RNA is filed under the name uncultured archaeon. RNAcentral describes it as "partial 16S ribosomal RNA". It matches the Rfam family "Archaeal small subunit ribosomal RNA", at positions 718 to 982 of the family's 1478-position model. The record is from RNAcentral.
AGUCACUGACAUUAGAUACCCCGGUAGUCCAGGGUGUAAACGCUGCAGACUUGGUGUUGGAAGUCCUUUGGGGGCAUUCAGUGCCGGAGAGAAGUUGUUAAGUCUGCUACUUGGGGAGUACGUCCGCAAGGAUGAAACUUAAGAAUUGGCGGGGGAGCACCGCAACGGGAGGAGCGUGCGGUUUAAUUGGAUUCAACACCGUAAAACUCACCAGGGAAGACUGUUACAUGAAAGCCGAGAUGAAGACUCUGCUAGAUUUUCAG